UGGGAGUAACAGAGGGAAACUUCUGAUAAUACUGGAUAAGUUAGUAUAUCGCAUGAUAUGCAAAUGAAAGCUACGGCACUAAAGGAGAGCUUUGCGUCCUAUUAGCUAGUUGGUAAGGUAAGAGCUUACCAAGGCGAUGAUAGGUAGCCGGCCUGAGAGGGUGGACGGCCACAAGGGGACUGAGAUACGGCCCUUACUCCUACGGGAGGCAGCAGCC
Molecule: ribosomal RNA, 217 nt
Filed under: uncultured Leptotrichia sp.
Lineage: Bacteria; Fusobacteriati; Fusobacteriota; Fusobacteriia; Fusobacteriales; Leptotrichiaceae
Description: partial 16S ribosomal RNA
Rfam family: Bacterial small subunit ribosomal RNA
Source: RNAcentral